CAAUAGCGUAUAUUUAAGUUGUUGCAGUUAAAAAGCUCGUAGUCGGAUUUUGGCUGAGAACGAUCGGUCCGCCGUUAGGUGUGCACUGAUUGGUCUCAGCUUCCUGGUGAGGAGGUGUGCUUCACGGCCACUUAGUCACCGUGGUUACUUUGAAAAAAUUAGAGUGUUCAAAGCGGGCUUACGCUUGAAUAUAUUAGCAUGGAAUAACACCAUAGGACUCCUGUCCUAUUUCGUUGGUCACGGGACGGGAGUAAUGAUUAAGAGGAACAGUUGGGGGCAUUCGUAUUUCAUUGUCAGAGGUGAAAUUCUUGGAUUUAUGAAAGACGAACUUCUGCGAAGGCAUUUGCCAAGGAUGUUUUCAUUGA
RNAcentral lists this ribosomal RNA (365 nucleotides) under uncultured eukaryote. RNAcentral's name for it is "partial 18S ribosomal RNA". It matches the Rfam family "Eukaryotic small subunit ribosomal RNA", at positions 592 to 976 of the family's 1831-position model. The record is from RNAcentral.